UUCUCGCUGGUGUAGAUUUUGUCCUGUUUUGGUUGUGAGGAUGAGGGGCUGGUGUGGAUCAACAGUCCUGAGGGGGAAGCAGGAAUCCCAGAAGACGGAGGGUCAGGCUGGGGAAUGCAGUUCUGGAAGCUGAGAGCAGAGUGCCCAGUCCUUUCACAUCAGUUUGCCAUAGUGCUGCAUUCAGGAGCUUCUGUCCAAGACACAAAGCCUGGCUGGCCUGUCAUUUCUUAAUAAUCCAGCAAGCUUCCAGGACUGACUUCAUCCUUCUGUCCAUUCAAUCAUCCAUCCAUCCACUUACCCAUCCAUCUAUCCAAAGGGGCACAAGGACACUUUUAGGGCUGAUGGAUGUGUUCACUGUCUUGACUGCUAUGAUGGUUUUAUGGGUGUGUACAUGUGUUAGAACUGGUAAAGUGGUAUACUUUAAAUGUGUGCAUGUGAGUGUACCUUAAUUAUAUUUCAAUAAAGUUGGAAAAAAGGAAGGUAAAUAACAGUAGGUCAAAACUGAUAACACCCCACAUUAUCCAUGGACAAGACAAUGGAUAAGCUGUGGAAUAUCCAUACAAUGGAAUACUGCUCAGCAGUAGAAAGGAACAAAUUGCUCAAAUAUACGACAACAUGGACCAUCUCACACAUGAAUGCUGAUCAAAAGACGUCAGAUGCGACAAUCAUUCUGUACAGUUCCAUUUAUAUACACUUCAAAAACAGAGAAAACAGGCCUGGCAUGGUGGCUUAUGCCUAUAAUUCUAGCACUU
This 752-nucleotide long non-coding RNA is filed under the name Homo sapiens (human). RNAcentral describes it as "HSALNT0303967". The record is from RNAcentral. Lineage: Eukaryota; Metazoa; Chordata; Mammalia; Primates; Hominidae.